AACCUGCACAGCAGAGCGACCAGCGAACACGUGAAUCCAAGUUCUUGGGACAGGCGAGUGGGAGUGAUCCCCCCGUCUUUCCCUUGCCGUCUCGAGUGCYUYGGCAUUUUCGAGAUGGAYAACAAACCCCACGGCGCGGACUGCGCCAAGGAAACAAACAAAGGAAAUAGCGUGUGGCCCAUYCGUCUUCGGACGUGCUGGGUYGCGUCGUGAAAUCCGAUCUUCGAACGACUCUCGGCAACGGAUAUCUCGGCUCUCGCAUCGAUGAAGAACGUAGCGAAAUGCGAUACUUGGUGUGAAUUGCAGAAUCCCGUGAACCAUCGAGUUUUUGAACGCAAGUUGCGCCCUAGGCCAUCCGGCUGAGGGCACGCCUGCCUGGGCGUCACGCACUKAGUCGCCCCUUCUUCUCUGAGGAGAGAUGGAGCGGAGAUUGGCCCCCCGUGCUUCCGAGUGCGGUCGGCCUAAAACUUGGCCCUUGGAGGCCGGCGUCACGAUCCGUGGUGGUUGGCAUCAAUUGUCUUAUCCGGAAUCCGUGGUCGUCGUUCCUCCUUUUGGACCACAAGGAACCCUCGAGAGGUUUAGGCCUCCACUCUGCGACCCCAGGUCAGGCGGGACCACCCGCUGA
Molecule: ribosomal RNA, 625 nt
Filed under: Chelidonium majus
Lineage: Eukaryota; Viridiplantae; Streptophyta; Magnoliopsida; Ranunculales; Papaveraceae
Description: eukaryotic LSU rRNA
Source: RNAcentral